RNAcentral lists this unclassified non-coding RNA (347 nucleotides) under soil metagenome. Its description in RNAcentral is "partial contains 5.8S ribosomal RNA, internal transcribed spacer 2, and large subunit ribosomal RNA". The stretch from base 1 to 120 matches the Rfam family "5.8S ribosomal RNA", at positions 35 to 154 of the family's 154-position model. The record is from RNAcentral.
GAUGAAGAACGCAGCGAAAUGCGAUAAGUAAUGUGAAUUGCAGAAUUCAGUGAAUCAUCGAAUCUUUGAACGCACAUUGCGCCCAUCAGUAUUCUGUUGGGCAUGCCUGUCCGAGCGUCAUUUCAACCCUCAGGGCCCGUUCGCGGGAACUGGUGUUGGGGAUCGGCCUCCCCCCGGAGGCCGGCCCCGAAAUGCAGUGGCGGCUCUACCGCGAUCUCCUCUGUGUAGUAGCGAUACCUCGCAGCUGGAUAGUGGUGGUGCCACGCCGUAAAAUCCCAACUUUACCAAGGUUGACCUCGGAUCAGGUAGGAAUACCCGCUGAACUUAAGCAUAUCAUAAGCGGAGGA